Non-coding RNA from Triticum urartu, 2504 nucleotides. The record is from RefSeq and is a predicted model, not a curated record. NCBI's taxonomy places the organism in Eukaryota, Viridiplantae, Streptophyta, Magnoliopsida, Poales, Poaceae.
UUCAACCCGCAAUCCCUAAUGAAUUCGGAAAAACAAAUAAGGUUUGACAUUUUUCAGAUCGAGCGGCGGCGCUCCCGUCGGUGGAAGGGCUGCGGGAGGUGGUGGGCGGCGGAGAUCGGCGAGGCGAUCCAGCACAGCGGUGUACUGGAGGCUCGAGGCGGUGGCGGUCCAUGGCCAUGGUGACUCGGUCUUCUCGGAGGAAGAGAAGAGGGAGGGAGAUGAGGUGGGAUGGAGAGAAUAGAAGGGAAAAUAGGGACUGCGCGACUACCUACUGCUGGUCCGGUGGCGGCUCUGGUACUCCCUCCCUCAGGUCAGUUUUCUCUCACAAUUACUUCCCACCAGAUCGAGAUUGACAGAGGCGAUAGAGAUUCGGCGUUGGAUGUGUGUGGCGGCGUGGUAGGAGCAUGGGGAGGGGCGCCGUGUUGGUGGAGGUGACCAACAAAAUAGAGAAGCACUGGGAGGCUGCCGAUGCCAUGGAUGAGCGAUGGGGAGAGCCGUCGUGGUGGACGAGAACGACCACCACGGAUCCCUCGCCCCAAGUCAUGAUCCAGUUGCGGUCGUUCUUCAAAAUCUAUCUGCUUCAUCACAUCCGGAACCUCACACAUGUCACAGCCUCCCGUCUAGCACUGUGAUGCCGUUUUGGUUGCCAUCACUAUGCCACGGUCCUUCAUAGUGCGCUGUUUGCUUAGCACUAAUAGGUAGAAGAAUCAUAAAUCAAGUGCACCUACCAUAUUAUUGGCUCUUCUCUAAUCUGUAAGUCAUAUUAUUGAUUCAGUGCUAGGUAGAUUCUUUUUAUUGGCCAUGUUGUGAUGAGAACAUGGUGUGGCUGACUGCUUCAUAAUCCUGCUACUGAUACAUGUAUGCUGCUGAUUGGUCCUGAUAUACACUGCCUAUUGCUGCUAAUAGUAAUAUUGCUACUCAAUUUGAUAGGUAAAGUGGUAAUAGACGGUGAGAUUGUAUAGUGCACAUAUGCCAAUCAGCCAAUUGUCCUUUCUGUGAUGAAUUAGAGAAUAUUGCUCAUAUGUUAAUCAGCUCCUCCUCCCUAGCCUUGUUGUAGUCUGAACUUUAAAGUUUUCAUCCACUCAAUGUUGAUUCAGUCUAAGAUCUCUGGGAAGAAAUUAUUUUAACAAUAUUCACUCUAUUGUGCUUAUUGCGGUCAUGUGGAAUAUAUGGAAGCGAAGGAACUCCAAUCUCUUCUGGGAUGUUUAUGAGGAAUUGCACAUUACUGCUAGCAAGAUUGUUGAUGAUCUUAUAUAUUUUGGUCCAACGGGUAUUCAAAUGAAAUUAAUGAAGGGCUCUUAUGGAUUGGAGCACUAUGUUGUAUCAACUAUUUGUGAGAUUGUAAUUUUCCCUUCAUUUACUUUUCUAUUAAUCCCACCGUAUAGUUUGCCUUUGUAUAGUUCUGAGUUUUAUAAAGUGGUCCAGGCCGGCGUAAGCGCGCUGUAGUCCUCGGGAAAAAAUGCGGCGAGUGAUGCGUCGCCCUCUCUAUACUGAAUAUUAUGUUCUUCUGUACUACUCGAAGAAGUGAUGCGAGCAUGAAGAAGGCCUUAGAAAAGGUGCAUCUUGUUGAUGAGGUAAAGGAGGAAGAGGAGGUUGUGGUGGUUGGGGAUGGCACGCCGGAGGCUGAUGCUGGCCGAGAUGAACGAGAUGUUGGCCAAGAAGAGGCAUGUUUAGCAGUGGUGGUUGAUCCAUUGUGCGCCAAAAAAUUAGCAAAUCCAUCAGCAAACGGGAUUAUGCGGUUUGAGUCUACGUGAUGGCUACAUAUUCUUGAUAACAUCGUUGUGCAUCACCGUAAUGAUUUCUCGGCCUUUUGCAUGCUCAUUUGGUGGCAGAUUUGGAAGGAGAGAAACAGUAGGGUUUUCAAUGGCAAGGCAAGCGACUGCAUCGGAACCUGCAACCUCAUAAUCGACGAGCUGCACACUUGGCUGCGAACCGGAAUUAACCGCUCAAGGGCUACCUGUAUAAACUCAAGCCAAGCAAAUUCCGUGCAACAAUUGACAUACUUUCCUUGCCGAGUGUGGUUUUUUUACCUCCUAAUAGAUUGGUUCUGCUCUCUCGAGAAAUCUGUGAAUGAGCUUCUGUAGUUGAUAGUGCACACAAAGUGACUGGUUCCAAUAACGAGCAAGAAUGUCAGACCCAUUUAAAGCCCUUCCACUCGAGAGCAGUACUCAUCUAAAGGAGAUGGCACCGGAAGACAUGAGUGCUGUUUUGUGACUUCUACAAUCUAUGAUUCAGAUAACAACAUGUAGCAACGCCAUUUCUCAACUAAUUUUGUAGGUAUCUUGUGUUUACUACAGGAUAUUGAAGUUCUCUCCAGGAGUCAUAUUUUCAUUUUGCCUUGCCUAUUCCAGGAAGAGUGCCUAUUGAGAUUCAGCAUGAUAGUUCAAAUAGAGGGAAUUGGGUAGUGAGCUAGGUGCGUCCGAUAUAUUUUUUCUCCCACUGCAACGUGUUGGUUGAGAAUUUUUGCAUGCAAUAUCAAUUUAGGUUGGUUUGCUUGCUGCUCC